Mesocricetus auratus (golden hamster) is the source of this 103-nucleotide small nuclear RNA. Lineage: Eukaryota; Metazoa; Chordata; Mammalia; Rodentia; Cricetidae. The record is from Ensembl.
AGGCUCUGGCGGCCUAUACACUAAAUUUGGAGUGAGAUGGAGAAGAUUAACAGGGCCACUGCCCAAGAAUGACAUGCAGAUGUGUGAAGACUUACCCAUUUUU